GUGGCUAUAGCUCAAUUGGUUAGAGCGCCUGCCUGUGGAGCAGGAGGUUGCCGGUUCAAGUCCGGUUAGCCACCCA
Molecule: transfer RNA, 76 nt
Filed under: candidate division CPR3 bacterium GWE2_35_7
Lineage: Bacteria; candidate division CPR3
Also listed under: 3 other names
Description: tRNA-His
Rfam family: tRNA
About the family: Transfer RNA (tRNA) molecules are approximately 80 nucleotides in length. Their secondary structure includes four short double-helical elements and three loops (D, anti-codon, and T loops).
Source: RNAcentral